This 588-nucleotide ribosomal RNA is filed under the name uncultured bacterium. Its description in RNAcentral is "bacterial SSU rRNA". It matches the Rfam family "Bacterial small subunit ribosomal RNA", at positions 338 to 916 of the family's 1533-position model. The record is from RNAcentral.
CCUACGGGAGGCAGCAGUGGGGAAUCUUGCGCAAUGGGGGAAACCUUGACGCAGCAACGCCGCGUGGGUGAUGAAGGCCUUCGGGUCGUAAAGCCCUGUCAGGUGGGAAGAAACAUGUCGGUGCUAAUAUCACCGAUGUUUGACGGUACCGCCGGAGGAAGCACCGGCUAACUCCGUGCCAGCAGCCGCGGUAAUACGGAGGGUGCAAGCGUUGUUCGGAAUUACUGGGCGUAAAGCGCGUGUAGGCGGUCGGGCAAGUCAGAUGUGAAAGCCUUCCGCUUAACGGAAGAAGUGCAUUUGAAACUACCCCGCUGGAGUACGGGAGAGGAGAGUGGAAUUCCCGGUGUAGAGGUGAAAUUCGUAGAUAUCGGGAGGAACACCAGUGGCGAAGGCGGCUCUCUGGUCCGAUACUGACGCUGAGACGCGAAAGCGUGGGGAGCAAACAGGAUUAGAUACCCUGGUAGUCCACGCCGUAAACGAUGGGCACUAGGUGUAGGAGGUAUUGACCCCUUCUGUGCCGAAGUUAACGCAUUAAGUGCCCCGCCUGGGGAGUACGGCCGCAAGGCUAAAACUCAAAGGAAUUGACGG